RNAcentral lists this ribosomal RNA (51 nucleotides) under Alternaria alternata. RNAcentral's name for it is "partial 28S ribosomal RNA". RNAcentral also lists the same sequence under 16 other names. The record is from RNAcentral. Lineage: Eukaryota; Fungi; Ascomycota; Dothideomycetes; Pleosporales; Pleosporaceae.
UUUGACCUCGGAUCAGGUAGGGAUACCCGCUGAACUUAAGCAUAUCAAUAA